AUGAGCACAGGGAAUGGCCCUAUGAGUUUGGGGACAUGGGGAUCCCCGUCCCAGGGGACAGCCCCUCACCUGCCCGUCCUGCUCCCCGAGGCAGACCCGCAGGGAGGCGAAGCCGGCGUGCGAGCUCCUCUGGAUGCCCCGCACCACGCACGAGCUGAUGCACAGCUCGCUGCCGGCCGCUGCGCACCGCAGGAAAUCCUCCUCCCGCAGCUCCUCCACCUUCCUCUGCUCGCCGCCGGGCAGCAGCGCCAGGGAGCCCCUCUGGAAGUGGGGCAGCACCACGGGCGUGCUGGCGGUGGGCAGCAGCAUGGCCCAGAGCCCCCCCGGUGCCGGCUGGGUUUUGGCACCGCCGGUACGAGACCGCGGGGCAGAGCGGCCGGGAGUAGAGCAACGCGUGGGAUGGUGCCGUGGGGGGCAGCCCUGGGGUGGUGGGAAUAUGGGCAGACAGUGGGGUGGGUGUCAUGGGGACAGUCCCCGAGCCAGUGGGGGGCUGCUCCUCGCCUGUCCCCUGCGGGGAAGCCGCCCUGGGAGGGGGCUGCGGAAGGGCAGCGUUGGUGGAAGGUGGAGGUGAGGGGUUGGGGGUCUCUGAGGGGUUUGGGGUGUUGGGGGGGACGCUGGCAUCGUGCAGGCUGGCAGCUGCCCUGCUCGGCUCGCCCGUGCCCACUGCCAGUCCGUAAUACAGCCGUGCCCUGGGGACACUGCCUGUGGGCAAUGGGGUUACCGAGGGGAGCCCCCCGCCCGGCUCUGUGCCCCCAGCUGGUGCCACCGGGCUGGCAGCAGACCACAGCCCUGGCAGGGCCCCCACCGUCCCCAUCCCCAUGUCCUGCCUGUCCCUGUGCUGCCCGCUCGGGGACAUCCAGGCUGGGGUGUGCAGGCAGCUCCUGGCCCCGGGACAGCCUCGGGGGGGGCCCCAGCCCCUUCCGCAGGCGGUGGCGAUGCCCAGGGGCUGCGGGCAGCCCCCUGCUGCCCCAUCAGCCGUGCCCAUCAUGGAACCAGGGUCCCUCCUGUGCCCAGGGGGGGCGCAUCGUGCCCACGGCUGCUGGGUGCCCGCAGGAGCCACCGGCCUCACGCAGUGGGGUGGAUGCUGGGGCGAGGGGCGGGCAGCCCUGGGCCCCCCCGGCAGCACCCAGGCUCCUGGAGCUGCUGUGGAGCCCCAUGGCCUGGGGCUGCCCGGGGCCGGCAGCGCCUUCCUCGCCGUCAUCUCCCUCUUCUUCGGGGGCAGGCUGA
This 1227-nucleotide long non-coding RNA is filed under the name Anas platyrhynchos platyrhynchos (common mallard). Its description in RNAcentral is "lncRNA (ENSAPLG00000017235.1)". The record is from RNAcentral. Lineage: Eukaryota; Metazoa; Chordata; Aves; Anseriformes; Anatidae.